AUUGAACGCUGGCGGCAUGCUUUACACAUGCAAGUCGAACGGUAACAGGUUAAGCUGACGAGUGGCGAACGGGUGAGUAAUGCAUCGGAACGUGCCCGAUCGUGGGGGAUAACACUUCGAAAGAAGUGCUAAUACCGCAUACGAUCUGAGGAUGAAAGCGGGGGACCGUAAGGCCUCGCGCGAUCGGAGCGGCCGAUGUCAGAUUAGGUAGUCGGUGGGGUAAAGGCCUACCAAGCCGACGAUCUGUAGCUGGUCUGAGAGGACGACCAGCCACACUGGGACUGAGACACGGCCCAGACUCCUACGGGGGGCAGCAGUGGGGAAUUUUGGACAAUGGGCGCAAGCCUGAUCCAGCAAUGCCGCGUGCAGGAAGAAGGCCUUCGGGUUGUAAACUGCUUUUGUACGGAGCGAAAAGGCUCUCUCUAAUACAGGGGGCUGAUGACGGUACCGUAAGAAUAAGCACCGGCUAACUACGUGCCAGCAGCCGCGGUAA
This 493-nucleotide ribosomal RNA is filed under the name uncultured bacterium. RNAcentral's name for it is "partial 16S ribosomal RNA". It matches the Rfam family "Bacterial small subunit ribosomal RNA", at positions 30 to 523 of the family's 1533-position model. The record is from RNAcentral.